GACGAACGCUGGCGGCGUGCUUAACACAUGCAAGUCGAACGGAAAGGCCCUGCUUUUGUGGGGUGCUCGAGUGGCGAACGGGUGAGUAACACGUGAGUAACCUGCCCUUGACUUUGGGAUAACUUCAGGAAACUGGGGCUAAUACCGGAUAGGAGCUCCUGCUGCAUGGUGGGGGUUGGAAAGUUUCGGCGGUUGGGGAUGGACUCGCGGCUUAUCAGCUUGUUGGUGGGGUAGUGGCUUACCAAGGCUUUGACGGGUAGCCGGCCUGAGAGGGUGACCGGCCACAUUGGGACUAGGAUACGGCCCAGACUCCUACGGGAGGCAGCAGUGGGGAAUAUUGCACAAUGGGCGGAAGCCUGAUGCAGCAACGCCGCGUGCGGGAUGACGGCCUUCGGGUCGUAAACCGCUUUCGCCUGUGACGAAGCGUGAGUGACGGUAAUGGGUAAAGAAGCACCGGCUAACUACGUG
Molecule: ribosomal RNA, 468 nt
Filed under: uncultured bacterium
Lineage: Bacteria
Description: partial 16S ribosomal RNA
Rfam family: Bacterial small subunit ribosomal RNA
Source: RNAcentral